Molecule: ribosomal RNA, 459 nt
Filed under: uncultured bacterium
Lineage: Bacteria
Description: partial 16S ribosomal RNA
Rfam family: Bacterial small subunit ribosomal RNA
Source: RNAcentral
CCUACGGGCGGCUGCAGUGAGGAAUAUUGGUCAAUGGCCGGAAGGCUGAACCAGCCAAGCCGCGUGAAGGACGAAGGUGCCAAGCAUUGUAAACUUCUUUUGUCAAGGGACAAAAUCAGGCUCGAGAGCCUGACCGAGGGUACUUGAAGAAAAAGCAUCGGCUAACUCCGUGCCAGCCGCCGCGGUACUACGGAGGAUGCGAGCGGUAUCCGGAUUUAUUGGGGUUAAAGGGUGCGUAGGCGGGCUGUUAAGUCAGCGGUAAAAGCCCGGGGCUCAACCCCGGCGAGACGGUGAAACUGGCUGUCUUGAGAUGUCGAGAGGUAUGCGGAAUGCGAAGGGUAGCGGUGAAAUGCUUAGAUAUUGCGCAGAACUCCGAUUGCGAAGGCAGCAUACCGGCGGCGAUCUGACGCUGAGGCACGAAAGCGUGGGUAUCGAACAGGAUUAGAUAUCCUGGUAGUC